GCUUGCUAUUUUUAUGAAGAGCGGCGAACGGGUGAGUAACGCGUGGGAAAUCUGCCGAGUAGCGGGGGACAACGUUUGGAAACGAACGCUAAUACCGCAUAACAAUGAGAAUCGCAUGAUUCUUAUUUAAAAGAAGCAAUUGCUUCACUACUUGAUGAUCCCGCGUUGUAUUAGCUAGUUGGUAGUGUAAAGGACUACCAAGGCGAUGAUACAUAGCCGACCUGAGAGGGUGAUCGGCCACACUGGGACUGAGACACGGCCCAGACUCCUACGGGAGGCAGCAGUAGGGAAUCUUCGGCAAUGGGGGCAACCCUGACCGAGCAACGCCGCGUGAGUGAAGAAGGUUUUCGGAUCGUAAAACUCUGUUGUUAGAGAAGAACGUUAAGUAGAGUGGAAAAUUACUUAAGUGACGGUAUCUAACCAGAAAGGGACGGCUAACUACGUGCCAGCAGCCGCGGUAAUACGUAGGUCCCAAGCGUUGUCCGGAUUUAUUGGGCGAA
This 500-nucleotide ribosomal RNA is filed under the name uncultured bacterium. Its description in RNAcentral is "bacterial SSU rRNA". It matches the Rfam family "Bacterial small subunit ribosomal RNA", at positions 66 to 562 of the family's 1533-position model. The record is from RNAcentral.